GGCCAUCCGGGUGUGUUGUUUGGAGAAAGACUUAGAAAUGAUGGAAUUCGGGGACCAGACUGAGAUAGGUGAGAGGGGGAUCAACCUUAGUGGUGGCCAGAAGCAACGCAUACAACUUGCCAGGGCGGUCUAUCAGGAUUGUGACAUCUACCUUCUUGAUGAUGUCUUCAGCGCUGUUGAUGCUCACACUGGUUCAGAGAUUUUUAAGGAAUGUCUGAGAGGUGC
Molecule: unclassified non-coding RNA, 225 nt
Filed under: Hevea brasiliensis (rubber tree)
Lineage: Eukaryota; Viridiplantae; Streptophyta; Magnoliopsida; Malpighiales; Euphorbiaceae
Source: RNAcentral